RNAcentral lists this ribosomal RNA (1786 nucleotides) under Dermacentor marginatus. RNAcentral describes it as "SSU rRNA". It matches the Rfam family "Eukaryotic small subunit ribosomal RNA". The record is from RNAcentral. Lineage: Eukaryota; Metazoa; Arthropoda; Arachnida; Ixodida; Ixodidae. RNAcentral also lists the same sequence under 1 other name.
GUAAUCAUAUGCUUGUCUCAAAGAUUAAGCCAUGCAUGUCUAAGUACAUGCCGAAAUAAGGCGAAACCGCGAAUGGCUCAUUAAAUCAGUUAUGGUUCCUUAGAUCGUUUCUUCCUACUUGGAUAACUGUGGCAAUUCUAGAGCUAAUACAUGCAGUGAGCCUGAAGCCCUUUGGGCGACGGGUGCUUUUAUUAGACCAAGAUCGAUCGGGUUUCGGCCCGUAUUGUGUGGUGACUCUGGAUAACUUUGUGCUGAUCGCAUGGCCACGAGCCGGCGACGUUUCUUUCAAGUGUCUGCCUUAUCAACUUUCGAUGGUAGGUUACUUGCUUACCAUGGUUGUUACGGGUAACGGAGAAUCAGGGUUCGAUUCCGGAGAGGGAGCCUGAGAAACGGCUACCACAUCCAAGGAAGGCAGCAGGCGCGCAAAUUACCCACUCCCGGCACGGGGAGGUAGUGACGAAAAAUAACAAUACGGGACUCUUUUGAGGCCCCGUAAUUGAAAUGAGUACACUCUAAAUCCUUUAACGAGGAUCAAUUGGAGGGCAAGUCUGGUGCCAGCAGCCGCGGUAAUUCCAGCUCCAAUAGCGUAUACUAAAGCUGCUGCGGUUAAAAAGCUCGUAGUUGGAUCUCAGUUCCAGACGAGUAGUGCAUCUACCCGAUGCGACGGCUCGGACUGAACAUCAUGCCGGUCCUUUCUUGGUGCACUUCAUUGUGUGCCUCGAGAAGGCCGGUGCUUUUACUUUGAAAAAAUUAGAGUGCUCAACGCAGGCGAGUCGCCUGAAUAAACUUGCAUGGAAUAAUAGAACAAGACCUCGUUUCUGUUCUGUUGGUUUUUGGAAUACGAGGUAAUGAUUAAGAGGGACAGACGGGGGCAUUCGUAUUGCGGCGCUAGAGGUGAAAUUCUUGGACCGUCGCAAGACGAACUACUGCGAAAGCAUUUGCCAAGAAUGUUUUCUUUGAUCAAGAACGAAAGUCAGAGGUUCGAAGGCGAUCAGAUACCGCCCUAGUUCUGACCAUAAACGAUGCCAACCAGCGAUCCGCCUGAGUUACUCAAAUGACUCGGCGGGCAGCUUCCGGGAAACCAAAGUGUUUGGGUUCCGGGGGAAGUAUGGUUGCAAAGCUGAAACUUAAAGGAAUUGACGGAAGGGCACCACCAGGAGUGGAGCCUGCGGCUUAAUUUGACUCAACACGGGAAAACUUACCCGGCCCGGACACUGGGAGGAUUGACAGAUUGAGAGCUCUUUCUUGAUUCGGUGGAUGGUGGUGCAUGGCCGUUCUUAGUUGGUGGAGCGAUUUGUCUGGUUAAUUCCGAUAACGAACGAGACUCUAGCCUAUUAAAUAGGUGCGGGGUUCCCAGCACCUUACAACCUUCUUAGAGGGACAAGCGGCUCCUAGCCGCACGAAACAGAGCAAUAACAGGUCUGUGAUGCCCUUAGAUGUCCGGGGCCGCACGCGCGCUACACUGAAGGAAGCAGCGUGUCUUUAUCCCUGUCUGAAAAGACUGGGUAACCCGUGGAACUUCUUUCGUGAUUGGGAUAGGGGCUUGCAAUUGUUCCCCUUGAACGAGGAAUUCCCAGUAAGCGCGAGUCAUAAGCUCGCGUUGAUUACGUCCCUGCCCUUUGUACACACCGCCCGUCGCUACUACCGAUUGAAUGAUUUAGUGAGGUCUUCGGACCGAUGUCCGGCGCGGCCUUUCGGUUGCGCCGGUCUGUUGGAAAGAUGACCAAACUUGAUCAUUUAGAGGAAGUAAAAGUCGUAACAAGGUUUCCGUAGGUGAACCUGCGGA